GGAGGGCGCGAGCGUUGUCCGGAAUCACUGGGCGUAAAGGGCGCGUAGGCGGCCUGAUAAGUAGGGGGUGAAAUCUUGCGGCUUAACCGCAAGGCUGCCUUCUAAACUGUCGGGCUCGAGCACAGUAGAGGCAGGUGGAAUUCCCGGUGUAGCGGUGGAAUGCGUAGAGAUCGGGAAGAACAUCAGUGGCGAAGGCGGCCUGCUGGGCUGUCGCUGACGCUGAGGCGCGACAGCGUGGGGAGCAAACAGGAUUAGAUACCCUGGUAGUCCACGCCGUAAACGAUGGGCACUAGGCGUCGGGGGGAGCGACCCUCCCGGUGCCGUCGCUAACGCAGUAAGUGCCCCGCCUGGGGAGUACGGCCGCAAGGCUG
RNAcentral lists this ribosomal RNA (371 nucleotides) under uncultured bacterium. RNAcentral's name for it is "bacterial SSU rRNA". It matches the Rfam family "Bacterial small subunit ribosomal RNA", at positions 527 to 896 of the family's 1533-position model. The record is from RNAcentral.